CUAAGGAGCAUCUGCACUGCUCGUUUCGAAGAGUCGAAGCCGAGAGUGCCAGAGCCGCUUAUGUUCCCGAAUGUGGAACUGCGGAGCUCAUGGGUGGAACGCUGACAACCUCACCGCAUCAGCGAGGAGCUAAUGCUCUGAGCGUGGUGAUAUAUCGACACACUGUUGGGUCCUGAAAGAACAGACGUUCUUUCCAGGCAAAAAACGACGAGGCUGAUCUUCAGUCAUACCGCCGAGAGUUUUCUCGGGCUGGUGCUGGGUAAAAGGUCGGGCUUGUGUGUUGUUUGAGAACUGCACAGUGGACGCGAGCAUCUUUGUUAGUAAGUGUGUAAGAGCGUAC
This 340-nucleotide unclassified non-coding RNA is filed under the name Nocardia otitidiscaviarum. RNAcentral describes it as "16S-23S ribosomal RNA intergenic spacer". The record is from RNAcentral. Lineage: Bacteria; Bacillati; Actinomycetota; Actinomycetes; Mycobacteriales; Nocardiaceae.